Molecule: ribosomal RNA, 515 nt
Filed under: uncultured bacterium
Lineage: Bacteria
Description: partial 16S ribosomal RNA
Rfam family: Bacterial small subunit ribosomal RNA
Source: RNAcentral
GAUGAACGCUGGCGGCGUGCCUAAUACAUGCAAGUCGAGCGAAUGGAUUAAGAGCUUGCUCUUAUGAAGUUAGCGGCGGACGGGUGAGUAACACGUGGGUAACCUGCCCAUAAGACUGGGGUAACUCCGGGAAACCGGGGCUAAUACCGAAUAACAUUUUGAACCGCAUGGUUCGAAAUUGAAAGGCGGCUUCGGCUGUCACUUAUGGAUGGACCCGCGUCGCAUUAGCUAGUUGGUGAGGUAACGGCUCACCAAGGCAACGAUGCGUAGCCGACCUGAGAGGGUGAUCGGCCACACUGGGACUGAGACACGGCCCAGACUCCUACGGGAGGCAGCAGUAGGGAAUCUUCCGCAAUGGACGAAAGUCUGACGGAGCAACGCCGCGUGAGUGAUGUAGGCUUUCGGGUCGUAAAACUCUGUUGUUAGGGAAGAACAAGUGCUAGUUGAAUAAGCUGACACCUUGACGGUACCUAACCAGAAAGCCACGGCUAACUACGUGCCAGCCGCCGCAGUAA